GGGACCGGGGCCGUCCGACUCCGCGCCAUCCGGAGCGCCCGACGCAUUUGUCUCUCGUCCGAAGGACGCUGCAGCCGGUCGGGCAGUGCAAGCGCGACGGCCUGAAGGGCGGGAAACGGCAGGUGGCCGGUGGCGCGCCUCGGCGCGUCGCCGGUUGUUAGCCGUCCCGUCAGUGGCCCGUCGCUCGACCGAGGUGUCACGAGGCCCAUCAGGGCCCCUUCGUCUCCUCCCCCUCAGGGGGAAGUCGGGACAGCGUCGCAGGCGAAGUCCGCCGUCCCGUCGCACUCCUUCGGAGUGGGCGGGCGAACGGACGGCGCCGUUGGUGGCGAAGGCCCGCGGGAGACCGGAGGCUAGCAGCGAGUAGGUCGGUCACCCACCCGACCCGUCUUGAAACACGGACCAAGGAGUCUAACAUGUGCGCGAGUCAAUGGGUCUUGAACAGGCCCAGGGGCGCAAUGAAAGCAAAGGUCGGCUCGCGUCGGCCGAGUUGGGAUCCCUCCCCCUCGGGGGGGGCGCACCAACGACCCGUCCUAUCCGGCUCGCCGGUUGGGCGGAGUGUGAGCGUACACGUUGGGACCCGAAAGAUGGUGAACUAUGCCCGGACAGGACGAGGCCAGAG
Molecule: ribosomal RNA, 619 nt
Filed under: Viridasius sp. DP-2014b
Lineage: Eukaryota; Metazoa; Arthropoda; Arachnida; Araneae; Ctenidae
Description: eukaryotic LSU rRNA
Rfam family: Eukaryotic large subunit ribosomal RNA (bases 399-619)
Source: RNAcentral